UCCUUCAAAAUAAUCUAAUACAACUCAGAGAAAUCCAGGAACGGGUGAUACAAGACAACACACACCUCCAGGGACUCGACAGUGUGAGCAUUUCCACAAUUGACCGUGUCCUCCAGCGUACCAGCAUGGGAAUGAAACAAGUUUACAGAGUACCUAUUGAGCACAACUCUCCAAGGGUGAAAGAACUGGGAGCCUAGUUUGUGCAAACAAUAUUUGACUUGGAAUCCUUGGACAGACCCCAUGAGUUCAUCUUUGUCGAUGAAGCAGGCUUCAAUCUGAAGUGCUCUAGCCUGAUCCAGCCCAAAGACAAGAAGAAGCACAGUGAUCACAUGUUUACUCCUUUGAUUUUGUAUUCUAUACUGUAGUACAGUGCAUUGUAGGCUAUAUACUGUACAAUAAAAACAAAUUGUCUGGCCUGAACAUUGUGCUUUUUCAUUUGUUUACAGCACUGAAUGCUCAAUAGAUUUUGACUUUUGGUUGCAAGUUCAUAUCAACAAAGAACAAGAAUUACACUAUCACAGAGACAAAGGACAAGUUUGUGAGAUACAGUGUACAGAACUGUAUAAAUAUGGGUACAAGAAGGAGGAUGAACAAAAAAAAAUUGCAAAGAGCAUCAUGUCUGAUCAAUUUUGAUCUACUAUGAUUGAACAUGUUUUCAUUCAUCAGAAAACAAUGAUGUAUGUAAUUUGUUUUGAGAUUGAAAAUGUACUUCUCUGUAAGAACUAUAUGUUUUGAACAUGUUUUCUAUUUUUUGGUGUAUUUUUUGACUGCUUGAUAGUGUAUAUAAUUUUGAUCACUUUGUUUAUGAUUGGAGAGCAGUGUUUGGUUUUGAGCACAGGUAAAUCUGUUUUGAGGCAAAAGUUUAAUUUUGCACGAGGAGUCAGAGGUUUUGUAAAAAGUGCUUGAAGCUGAGGUUUUGUGUUUAAUGUUUUCAGACAAUGGAGCAAGGUUUCACAAAUUGUGUUUUAGCAGUUGAGAAAAACUGUAAUCGCCUCCAUGUUCACAUCCUUCUCUGUGUGAUUACAAGCCCUUGCCCUUAUGUGUUUCACCUGUGUCUCGUUAUCCCUUCCCUCCUGUCUGUAUUUAACCAGUGCUCCCCUGUGUGUCAGUGCCAGAAUGUCUUGUCUCCUAGAGCAGCAUUACAGUGUUUUAUGUAUGAGAGUUUUCUUUGGCUUUCUGGGUUUUGACCCUUGGACUGAAUUGAAAGACCUUAAGAACUGAUUUUUGCCUGCCUGCCUGCAUCUGUGUCUGCCAGUCUCACUGUUCAUGAUACUUACUUUAAUGAGUGUACAUCAUGUAAAGCUACCAUCUAAUGUAGGAUCCCUCAAGGCUCAAUACUCAUU
Molecule: long non-coding RNA, 1343 nt
Organism: Centropristis striata (black sea bass)
Lineage: Eukaryota; Metazoa; Chordata; Actinopteri; Perciformes; Serranidae
Exons: 2
Source: RefSeq, a predicted model, not a curated record